This 500-nucleotide ribosomal RNA is filed under the name uncultured Glomeromycotina. RNAcentral describes it as "partial small subunit ribosomal RNA". It matches the Rfam family "Eukaryotic small subunit ribosomal RNA", at positions 591 to 1092 of the family's 1831-position model. Lineage: Eukaryota; Fungi; Glomeromycota. The record is from RNAcentral.
CCAAUAGCGUAUAUUAAAGUUGUUGCAGUUAAAAAGCUCGUAGUUGAAUUUCGGGGUCAGUAGGUUGGUCAUGCCACUGGUAUGUACUGGUCUCACUGAUUCCUCCUUCCUGAUGAGCCGUAAUGCCAUUAAUUUGGUGUUGCGAGGAAUCUGGACUGUUACUUUGAAAAAAUUAGAGUGUUUAAAGCAGGCUAACGCUUGAAUACAUUAGCAUGGAAUAAUGAAAUAGGACGUUCGAUCUUAUUUUGUUGGUUUCUAAGAUUGACGUAAUGAUUAAUAGGGAUAGUUGGGGGCAUUAGUAUUAAAUUGUCAGAGGUGAAAUUCUUGGAUUUAUUGAAGACUAACUACUGCGAAAGCAUUUGCCAAGGAUGUUUUCAUUAAUCAAGAACGAAAGUUAGGGGAUCGAAGACGAUCAGAUACCGUCGUAGUCUUAACCAUAAACUAUGCCGACUAGGGAUCGGAUGAUGUUAAUUUUUUAAUGACUCAUUCGGCGCCUUACG